This 422-nucleotide ribosomal RNA is filed under the name Cytherissa sernovi insularis. Its description in RNAcentral is "partial small subunit ribosomal RNA". The record is from RNAcentral. Lineage: Eukaryota; Metazoa; Arthropoda; Ostracoda; Podocopida; Cytherideidae.
UUUAAUAGUCGAACAGACUAACUUACCUAGCUGCUACACUAGCCAGCACCUUUAAUUCAACAUCGAGGUCACAAGAUCUUUUAUCAAUUAGGCCUCUCUAAAAGCAUUGUGCUGUUAUCCCUGAGGUAACUACGCUUUAACUUGUUAAAGAUCCUGAUCCUACUACACCGUCGGUGUAAAUGCUAGAUCCAUUAACUUACCGCCCCAGUAUGGUGCAACAGUACCAAGCACUCAGAUUGUUUGAGUCGGAGCUACUCCGAAACCAGCUCUGCAGGGUCUUAUCUUCCCAUUGAUUGAGAUUGAAGCUUUAAUCAAGUCCUUAACUUAUUCAAUUACAGGCUUAUAAGUCGUCUUUCAUGAGCCCCUUCAUUCUAGACCCCAAUUAAGAGCCAAGUUAUUAUGCUACCUUUGCACAGUUAAGG